This 69-nucleotide transfer RNA is filed under the name Ictidomys tridecemlineatus (thirteen-lined ground squirrel). Its description in RNAcentral is "Spermophilus tridecemlineatus (thirteen-lined ground squirrel) tRNA". It matches the Rfam family "tRNA". From Rfam's summary of the family: Transfer RNA (tRNA) molecules are approximately 80 nucleotides in length. RNAcentral also lists the same sequence under 1 other name. The record is from Rfam by way of RNAcentral. Lineage: Eukaryota; Metazoa; Chordata; Mammalia; Rodentia; Sciuridae.
AGGGAUGUGGCUCAGUGGUAGAGCACUUGCCUAGCAUGCACAAGGCCCUGGGUUCAAUCCCCACCACUA